UCAAUUGUCUUAUAAUUGAAGACUGGAAUGAAUGGUUGAACGAGAUUAAAACUGUUUCAUUUAUAUUAAUUAGAAAUUGGUUUUUAAGUGAAGAAAUUUAAAUUUAAUUAAUAGACAAGAAGACCCUAUUGAGCUUUAAAUAAUUUUAAAAUUAAAAAUUUAUUGUUAAAGAUUUAAGUUUUAAAUAUUUUUUAGUUGGGGCGACUAAGGAACAAAAGAAGCUUCCUUUAUUUGUUAGAUCGAUAGAUUUUGAUCCAGUAUUAAACUGAUUAAUAAAGAUAGUUACCAUAGGGAUAACAGCAUAAUCUCUUUGGAGAGUUCUUAUCAAAAAGGGGGGUUGUGACCUCGAUGUUGGAUUAAAAUGUCCUAAAGGUGUA
Molecule: ribosomal RNA, 377 nt
Filed under: Mekongia lithophaga
Lineage: Eukaryota; Metazoa; Mollusca; Gastropoda; Architaenioglossa; Viviparidae
Description: partial 16S rRNA
Source: RNAcentral